This 433-nucleotide ribosomal RNA is filed under the name uncultured bacterium. RNAcentral describes it as "partial 16S ribosomal RNA". It matches the Rfam family "Bacterial small subunit ribosomal RNA", at positions 29 to 507 of the family's 1533-position model. The record is from RNAcentral.
AACGAACGCUGGCGGCAUGCCUAACACAUGCAAGUCGAACGAGACCUCUGUGUCUAGUUGCGCAUGGGUGCGUCGCGCGUGGGAAUCUGCCCUUGGGCUCGGAAUAACAGUGAGAAAUUGCUGCUAAUACCGGAUGAUGUCUUCGGACCAAAGAUAUAUCGCCCAGGGAUGAGCCGGCGUAGGAUGAGCCAGUCGGGGGGGUAAUGGCCUACCAAGGCGACGAUCCUUAGCUGGGAUGAGAGGAUGAUCAGCCACACUUGGAGUAGGACGCGGCCGAGAAUCUUACGGAAGGGGGGAGAGGGGAAUAUUGGACAAUGGGGUCGGGGCUGAACCAGCAAUGCCGGGUGAGUGAUGAAGGCCUUAGGGUAGAAAAGCACUUUUACCAGGGAUGAUAAUGACAGUACCUGGAGAAUAAGCUCCGGCUAACUCCGUG